GCAUCCUUCGGGGUGAGUGGCAGACGGGUGAGUAACGCGUGGGAACGUGCCCUUCAGUUCGGAAUAACCCAGGGAAACUUGGGCUAAUACCGGAUACGUGCGAGAGCAGAAAGAUUUAUCGCUGAAGGAUCGGCCCGCGUCUGAUUAGCUAGUUGGUAGGGUAAUGGCCUACCAAGGCGACGAUCAGUAGCUGGUCUGAGAGGAUGAUCAGCCACAUUGGGACUGAGACACGGCCCAAACUCCUACGGGAGGCAGCAGUGGGGAAUAUUGGACAAUGGGCGCAAGCCUGAUCCAGCCAUGCCGCGUGAGUGAUGAAGGCCUUAGGGUUGUAAAGCUCUUUCGGCGGGGACGAUAAUGACGGUACCCGCAGAAGAAGCCCCGGCUAACUUCGUGCCAGCAGCCGCGGUAAUACGAAGGGGGCUAGCGUUGUUCGGAAUCACUGGGCGUAAAGGGCGCGUAGGCGGCUUUAUAAGUCGGGGGUGAAAGCCUGUGGCUCAACCACAGAAUUGCCUUCGAUACUGUAUGGCUUGAGACCGGAAGAGGUAAGUGGAACUGCGAGUGUAGAGGUGAAAUUCGUAGAUAUUCGCAAGAACACCAGUGGCGAAGGCGGCUUACUGGUCCGGUUCUGACGCUGAGGCGCGAAAGCGUGGGGAGCAAACAGGAUUAGAUACCCUGGUAGUCCACGCCGUAACGAUGAAUGCCAGCCGUUGGGCAGCUUGCUGCUCAGUGGCGCAGCU
RNAcentral lists this ribosomal RNA (737 nucleotides) under Microvirga sp. Its description in RNAcentral is "bacterial SSU rRNA". It matches the Rfam family "Bacterial small subunit ribosomal RNA", at positions 79 to 853 of the family's 1533-position model. The record is from RNAcentral. Lineage: Bacteria; Pseudomonadati; Pseudomonadota; Alphaproteobacteria; Hyphomicrobiales; Methylobacteriaceae.